CUGGGCGUAGCUCAACUGGGAGAGCACGCGCUUCGGAAGCGCGGAGGUGCUGGUUCGACUCCAGCUGCCCAGA
Molecule: transfer RNA, 73 nt
Filed under: Polyangiaceae bacterium
Lineage: Bacteria; Pseudomonadati; Myxococcota; Polyangiales; Polyangiaceae
Rfam family: tRNA
About the family: Transfer RNA (tRNA) molecules are approximately 80 nucleotides in length. Their secondary structure includes four short double-helical elements and three loops (D, anti-codon, and T loops).
Source: Rfam by way of RNAcentral